GUGAACACCAAAUGUAUUGUGGUCAAGCUAAUAAGGGCUGAUGGUGGAUACCUAGGCACACAGAG
Molecule: ribosomal RNA, 65 nt
Filed under: Roholtiella edaphica JOH4
Lineage: Bacteria; Bacillati; Cyanobacteriota; Cyanophyceae; Nostocales; Fortieaceae
Description: partial 23S ribosomal RNA
Source: RNAcentral